Non-coding RNA from Cyanistes caeruleus (blue tit), 273 nucleotides. The record is from RefSeq and is a predicted model, not a curated record. NCBI's taxonomy places the organism in Eukaryota, Metazoa, Chordata, Aves, Passeriformes, Paridae.
GUGGCAGACAGCACAGCCUGGGAACGCCAUUCCCGUAAAGAGCCCGCGGUUCCGGGCACUGCAGAGCCGGCUGGGGAAAACUGCUACCGGGCUCUGGCUGACGGCUUCCUGGCCCCCCACACCUGUCCUCUGGGAUUUACAGCUCUGAACCAUUAUGAAACGGAGGCCUUAACCCGGGGGUGUCACGGAGAUGCUUUUUUUGCCUUGAGUUUCUCGAUUGCUAGGUGCUUUCAAAACCCAAAAAAAGGUGACCAGAAGUUUUGGUAAUGCUGU